CGCAGCCGCGGUAAUUCCAGCUCCAAUAGCGUAUAUUAAAGUUGUUGCAGUUAAAAAGCUCGUAGUUGAAUUUCGAGAUCAAAUUGUUGGUCGUGCCUUGGUACGCACUGGCAUUAUUGGUUUCUCCCUUCUGACGAACCAUGAUGUCAUUAAUUUGGUGUCUUGGGGAAUCAGGGCUGUUACUUUGAAAAAUUAGAGUGUUUAAAGCAGGCUCACGCUUGAAUACAUUAGCAUGGAAUAAUGAAAUAGGACGUUUGAUUCUAUUUUGUUGGUUUCUAGGAUCGACGUAAUGAUUAAUAGGGAUAGUUGGGGGCAUUAGUAUUCAAUUGUCAGAGGUGAAAUUCUUGGAUUUAUUGAAGACUAACUACUGCGAAAGCAUUUGCCAAGGAUGUUUUCAUUAAUCAAGAACGAAAGUUAGGGGAUCGAAGACGAUCAGAUACCGUCGUAGUCUUAACCAUAAACUACGCCGACUAGGGAUCGGAUGAUGUUAAUUUUUAAUGACUCAUUCGGCGCCUUACGG
RNAcentral lists this unclassified non-coding RNA (520 nucleotides) under uncultured Glomus. RNAcentral describes it as "SSU rRNA". It matches the Rfam family "Eukaryotic small subunit ribosomal RNA", at positions 569 to 1093 of the family's 1831-position model. The record is from RNAcentral. Lineage: Eukaryota; Fungi; Glomeromycota; Glomeromycetes; Glomerales; Glomeraceae.